AGGCUGCAACCCGCCCUCGCAUGAAGUCGGAAUCGCUAGUAAUCGCGAGUCAGCAUAUCGCGGUGAAUACGUUCCCGGGUCUUGUACACACCGCCCGUCACACCAUGGGAGUCGGUAACGCCCCGAAGCCAGUGACCCAACCUUAGGGAGGGAGCUGUCGAAGGCGGGACGGAUAACUGGGGUGAAGUCGUAACAAGGUAUC
RNAcentral lists this ribosomal RNA (202 nucleotides) under uncultured bacterium. RNAcentral's name for it is "partial 16S ribosomal RNA". It matches the Rfam family "Bacterial small subunit ribosomal RNA", at positions 1302 to 1500 of the family's 1533-position model. The record is from RNAcentral.